GACGAACGCUGGCGGCGUGCUUAACACAUGCAAGUCGAACGGAAAGGCCCUGCUUUUGUGGGGUGCUCGAGUGGCGAACGGGUGAGUAACACGUGAGUAACCUGCCCUUGACUUUGGGAUAACUUCAGGAAACUAGGGCUAAUACCGGAUAGGAGCUCCUGCUGCAUGGUGGGGGUUGGAAAGUUUCGGCGGUUGGGGAUGGACUCGCGGCUUAUCAGCUUGUUGGUGGGGUAGUGGCUUACCAAGGCUUUGACGGGUAGCCGGCCUGAGAGGGUGACCGGCCACAUUGGGACUGGGAUACGGCCCAGACUCCUACGGGAGGCAGCAGUGGGGAAUAUUGCACAAUGGGCGGAAGCCUGAUGCAGCAACGCCGCGUGCGGGAUGACGGCCUUCGGGUUGUAAACCGCUUUCGCCUGUGACGAAGCGUGAGUGACGGUAAUGGGUAAAGAAGCACCGGCUAACUACGUG
RNAcentral lists this ribosomal RNA (468 nucleotides) under uncultured bacterium. RNAcentral's name for it is "partial 16S ribosomal RNA". It matches the Rfam family "Bacterial small subunit ribosomal RNA", at positions 28 to 507 of the family's 1533-position model. The record is from RNAcentral.